RNAcentral lists this ribosomal RNA (250 nucleotides) under uncultured bacterium. Its description in RNAcentral is "partial 16S ribosomal RNA". It matches the Rfam family "Bacterial small subunit ribosomal RNA", at positions 1250 to 1500 of the family's 1533-position model. The record is from RNAcentral.
CGAAACAGUGAUGUGGAGUAAAACUUAAAAAGCGGUCCCAGUUCGAAUUGAAGGCUGAAAUUCGCCUUCAUGAAGUCGGAAUUGCUAGUAAUGGCAGGUCAGCAUACUGCCGUGAAUACGUUCCCGGGCCUUGUACACACCGCCCGUCACACCAUGAGAGUUGGAGAUACCCGAAGCCUGUGAGCUAACAGAAAUGGAGCAGCAGUCGAAGGUAGAAUCAAUGAUUGGGGUGAAGUCGUAACAAGGUAUC